AGUCGAGCGCGAAAGCACUUCGGUGUGAGUAGAGCGGCGGACGGGUGAGUAACGCGUAAGAAUCUACCUAGUAGUGGGGGACAACUCGAGGAAACUCGAGCUAAUACCGCAUACGCCCUACGGGGGAAAGCGGGGGACCUUCGGGCCUCGCGCUAUUAGAUGAGCUUGCGUUGGAUUAGCUUGUUGGUGAGGUAAUGGCUCACCAAGGCUACGAUCCAUAGCUGGUCUGAGAGGAUGAUCAGCCACACCGGGACUGAGACACGGCCCGGACUCCUACGGGAGGCAGCAGUGGGGAAUAUUGCGCAAUGGGCGGAAGCCUGACGCAGCCAUGCCGCGUGUGUGAAGAAGGCCUUAGGGUUGUAAAGCACUUUCAAUUGGGAGGAAAAGUUAACGACUAAUACUCGUUAGCCUUGACGUUACCUUUAGAAGAAGCACCGGCUAACUCCGUGCCAGCAGCCGCGGUAAUACGGAGGGUGCAAGCGUUAAUCGGAAUUACUGGGCGUAAAGCGCGCGUAGGCGGCUUUUUAAGUCGGAUGUGAAAGCCCCGGGCUCAACCUGGGAACUGCAUCCGAUACUGGAA
RNAcentral lists this ribosomal RNA (580 nucleotides) under uncultured bacterium. RNAcentral's name for it is "bacterial SSU rRNA". It matches the Rfam family "Bacterial small subunit ribosomal RNA", at positions 60 to 638 of the family's 1533-position model. The record is from RNAcentral.